Molecule: unclassified non-coding RNA, 1270 nt
Filed under: Hevea brasiliensis (rubber tree)
Lineage: Eukaryota; Viridiplantae; Streptophyta; Magnoliopsida; Malpighiales; Euphorbiaceae
Source: RNAcentral
GAGGGCUGCUAUCUACUAGAGGACUAAGAAAAAUCUUCUACCACAUCUGAAAAUUGAAAUGAUAAGUUAUGAAGAUUAAUUGCUGCCUCCUUCUUGAAAAACGUGUAUGAAGUUCUGGAGGGGAACUUCUAACUCAUUGACUCUAUCGGCAGUGGACAGCAGUAAAAACACAAGAAAUACAAUUAAGUUGCAGAAGGAAUGCUGGUUAUAGAACAAGACAAGAUAUGAGAAACUCCGGAGCUGCAAUUACAACCUCGCCGCUAUUCCAAAUGUGUUAGAAGCGGAAAAUAUUUAGUGAAUCUCUGUGGAAGUGUUCUGGUUGCAACUUUGGUUUCUGCGAUACGCAUUGGCAGGAGGUUCCGUGGUUAACUUUCUUCCCUCACAAAUCUUCAGCAGUUAACCAUUUUGGGAAUAGAGUCUUUGCCUUGACAGAUGUGUGGAGAAUCAAUUUUGACAGUUGGGUUUUCUUCUUAAUCAAACUUCCGGUGCAUGCUUUCCUCUUUUACCCCUUACCCUCUUUGAGAUCAAAUGCCUGUUACAAAUUUUCCUGCAACUAAGAUUGCAACUGAAAAAUAACCAAGGAUGAUUUUUGUGUCAGACUCAUCAAUUAUUGAGCAAUUUGGUGAUUUGUUACUGCAGUGCUUCUCACAUUCAUCUUAAAUAUUGCAAAGGUAUGAAAGAAAUUUGAACAUUUCCUUUGUUAUAUUACCAUGAUACCAUUUCUAAUUUUCUUUGCAAACAUAGUUUCAUUUGCAUGCUUUUUCUGAAGAAUAAAGUAUCACAUAAUAACCAUUGUUCCCAUCUUUCCCUUCUGCAGAGUUCUAACUGUAUACAUAACCUGCAGUCACUUAUCGACACUGGAAAUGGGAGAUCAAGGACAGAUUAUAUUCCCAUAGUUUCUUGGACCAGAAAUAUGAGUGAUUUGAGAAUGUUUUCAUCACAAAAAUGAAAUCAGUGUACAUCUUUUGUCCUUGUGUACCUCAAAGCUUCCUGCCUCUAAUUCAUUUCAUCGGUACAUGGAAUUCCUCUUCGUCAAUGUUACUAUUAAUUUUAAGAUUCAGCCUCGUGCCAUAUUCAUCCAGUAUGAAAUUCCUUCUAAGCUUGAACAUAAUAAUAAUGAUGAAAUCUUUAAUGCUUGUUAGUGUUUUAAUGGUGGUUUCUCCACCAUUCAACCAUUACAUCAAAUAUAAAUCUAUGGGUAUCCAAGUCUCUGUUAGGCUACUUUUAUUUUUAAUGCUUGUUACUGUUAGUGUUUUAAUUAACACAUGAA